UCUUAUCUUCUCUCCUCUCUCAAACCUAACUCUAGACUCCGUCAAUCGCCUCUUUCUCGGGCUAUCUUCGACUACCUCCUCUCAACCCCAAGCCUCCAAUGCGUCUCUCAUCGCCUUGCUCAACAUCCCUAAAGACCUCAAGGGUCCUGGGCCAUGUCGAUUUGGACCUAGGGUUUUUAGUUCUGUGUUCAAGGCUUCCCUGAUGUAAUAUUAGGCAAAAUCACACCAUAUGUGUUACGAUUUGUGAAGUUACAACAGGUUCUUUCAACUUCUAUUUGGGUUGCGUUUUGAAACCCUAACUCUUUCUUGAAUCUCUCAGAACGAUAUUAUUUUCAUGCUUUAAGCAUGUUUUCUUCUAUGAUCUGCUUAUUCUCAAGCUUCUUCUGAAAUAUCAUCUACUUUGAACCGUAUUUACUUUCUUUGAAAAACUAGUGUUUCUCGGAGUUCUUUUAUGCAAGUUCUAAUCGAUUUCUUUAUGAUUAAACCUUUUCCUUGCUUAUUUUGACCAAUUUUAUGCUCUUACUGCUUUUUAACUUGACUAUGCUAAAAGCCCUAAUUUCUAAAGAUUUUCUUCUCUUUGGUUAGGUGUGUUAGUCUGCUUUUCUUUGCCUUGGUUCUGUUUGUUGGCAUGAUUCCUUCGCUUUGGUUAUGUGUGUUAGCCUAAUAUUCUUUGCCUUGGUUCUGUGUGUUAACAUGACUUUCUUUGCCUUGGUUCUGUGUGCUAGCUGUUUACCUGAUUCUUGUUAAUGUCUCGUGGUCACCAGACCUCGGAUAUGUUCUGCUGAAUCUUAGCCUACUUAUACCACCUCUGAAUGAUUGUGUUUGCUCAUCUCUUGAUUCUUUCUGUUUCUAUGGCUGACUUUGUUUAUUAUUCUUGUUAAUUCACCUCUAUUUAUAUGUUGAAAAUACAGAACCAUGAAUUCCCAUGAUUGAUUUUGAUUUUUCUUAAUUAUUGGUAAUUGAAAGAUUUUCUUUCAAAGCCCUAAAAUUCUACUCGUCUAUUUAAAUUAACUGAUUACAUUACCUUAUCUGCUAUGGUACCUUGUUUUAUUAAGGUUUUCCUUAAUUGGGUUUUUCUAAAUUUGGUCCUAAUUGAUUACUCUAUACCUACUGAACCUUGACUCCUUCCUUAUUUAAUCAUACACUGAGUUUUCUUCUGCCUUAUAUGGUACUGAAUCUUUCUGUUUAAUCUUGAUUCCCUUUACUUAAGGAUGUUCUUCCUUGAUUCUCUAAUUGAUUGAUUCUGAGUUCUUAAAUUAAUAUACUACUAUGGAUUUUACCUUAUUUCAUUACUUACUUUCAACUAUAAAUAUCAUAAGUCUUUCACAAACAAAGAAGGAACACUUUUAGUUCUGAACUCACACUUAUACUCAAACACUCUCUUGCUUUACUACUUGCACUGUGGCCUGUUUAGCCGGCUGAAAGCCAAGGCUAUAUUUCAAAGUACGACUAUUUUUAUUUACCGCAUCUUGCUUCUUUAACUGGUAUGUUCUAAUUAAUCUUUCAGUACCAACAACAACAUGGUUACUUUAUAUUCUUGCAUUCUUGUCUGCAUACGCUUGUAUCUAAUUCAGUACCUUCAAUUAGCA
This 1589-nucleotide long non-coding RNA is filed under the name Nicotiana benthamiana. RNAcentral describes it as "long non-coding RNA (NBEN_LNC015135)". Lineage: Eukaryota; Viridiplantae; Streptophyta; Magnoliopsida; Solanales; Solanaceae. The record is from RNAcentral.